GAGGAUGAUGUUGGGCUUUUGAAUCAUGUCCCUCCAUUUUCACCAGACUCAAUUGAGACAACUGACAAAUGGGGGAGGAUGAUGAGAACACUGUGACCUGAGGUCUUGCGAGAUAGGAUGGCAAUAUUUUUCAGUAAUUUUGGCUUUUGGGAUUCAAGAGAGCAUUUGCUCAGAUCUGGAGAUGAAACUUUCAGCCUUGUCUGCAACAAAAUUUGCUUUUUUUCGUCAAUAAACAGCUCUACAAGACACUAACAUUCCUGAACAAUGGGAAUCCAUCCUUCUCGCUGGUGUAGGAUGCAGCAUUUGGGAGAUGUAUAAUUUUUUUUUUUCAGCUUGCAAAUUUCUGUAUGUGUAUAAUUAUGAUUAAUUAAUUUUACCAAAGUUCGUCCCUUGACGUGAGGAAUAUUCUGUUGCAUUCUCAUACCUGUCCAUCAAUUGAUCUGAUUCUGUAUUUUACACCAAAUACGUGAGAUCAGUAGUUG
RNAcentral lists this unclassified non-coding RNA (482 nucleotides) under Hevea brasiliensis (rubber tree). The record is from RNAcentral. Lineage: Eukaryota; Viridiplantae; Streptophyta; Magnoliopsida; Malpighiales; Euphorbiaceae.